UGUAGUAUAAUGUUUAUGCAUAUGAAUUUUUGAAUUUCAAUGUAAAACUUUAUUGUUUUUGUUACAG
RNAcentral lists this transfer RNA (67 nucleotides) under Cladolidia biungulata. RNAcentral describes it as "tRNA-Gln". The record is from RNAcentral. Lineage: Eukaryota; Metazoa; Arthropoda; Insecta; Hemiptera; Cicadellidae.